CAGUAGCCGCGGUAAUACGGAGGAUCCAAGCGUUAUCCGGAUUUAUUGGGUUUAAAGGGUGCGUAGGUGGCCUGUUAAGUCAGGGGUGAAAGACGGUAGCUUAACUAUCGCAGUGCCUUUGAUACUGACGGGCUUGAAUACACUAGAGGUAGGCGGAAUGUGACAAGUAGCGGUGAAAUGCAUAGAUAUGUCACAGAACACCAAUUGCGAAGGCAGCUUACUAUGGUGUCAUUGACACUGAGGCACGAAAGCGUGGGGAUCAAACAGGAUUAGAUACCCGGGUAGUCCCUGUCUCUUAUAC
RNAcentral lists this ribosomal RNA (301 nucleotides) under uncultured bacterium. Its description in RNAcentral is "partial 16S ribosomal RNA". It matches the Rfam family "Bacterial small subunit ribosomal RNA", at positions 509 to 807 of the family's 1533-position model. The record is from RNAcentral.